AUUGAACGCUGGCGGCAGGCCUAACACAUGCAAGUCGAACGGUAACAGGGAUCAGCUUGCUGAUUCGCUGACGAGUGGCGGACGGGUGAGUAAUGUCUGGGAAACUGCCUGAUGGAGGGGGAUAACUACUGGAAACGGUAGCUAAUACCGCAUAACGUCGCAAGACCAAAGAGGGGGACCUUCGGGCCUCUUGCCAUCGGAUGUGCCCAGAUGGGAUUAGCUAGUAGGUGGGGUAACGGCUCACCUAGGCGACGAUCCCUAGCUGGCCUGAGAGGAUGACCAGCCACACUGGAACUGAGACACGGUCCAGACUCCUACGGGAGGCAGCAGUGGGGAAUAUUGUACAAUGGGCGCAAGCCUGAUGCAGCCAUGCCGCGUGUAUGAAGAAGGCCUUCGGGUUGUAAAGUACUUUCAGCGGGGAGGAAGGGAGUAAAGUUAAUACCUUUGCUCAUUGACGUUACCCGCAGAAGAAGCACCGGCUAACUCCGU
This 489-nucleotide ribosomal RNA is filed under the name uncultured bacterium. RNAcentral describes it as "partial 16S ribosomal RNA". It matches the Rfam family "Bacterial small subunit ribosomal RNA", at positions 30 to 506 of the family's 1533-position model. The record is from RNAcentral.